GCGUUAAUGGAGUGGCCGAUAUCUGAUUAGCUAGUUGGUGAGGUAAAGGCUCACCAAGGCGACGAUCAGUAGCUGGUCUGAGAGGACGACCAGCCACACUGGAACUGAGACACGGUCCAG
This 120-nucleotide ribosomal RNA is filed under the name uncultured bacterium. RNAcentral describes it as "partial 16S ribosomal RNA". It matches the Rfam family "Bacterial small subunit ribosomal RNA", at positions 215 to 334 of the family's 1533-position model. The record is from RNAcentral.